Molecule: long non-coding RNA, 658 nt
Organism: Ostrinia nubilalis (European corn borer)
Lineage: Eukaryota; Metazoa; Arthropoda; Insecta; Lepidoptera; Crambidae
Exons: 3
Source: RefSeq, a predicted model, not a curated record
GAAUAUUAGCCAUAACCUUAAAAGUUGAAGUUCAAAUGUCAAUGUCAUUUAGUUUCGCACAGUGAUAAAUUCCAGUGACAUGCAAUUUUUGUAAUGGCAAAAUAUUUGUAAGAAACUGCAAACAAAUGCAAAUGUGCAGUCGAUGUGUGGAAUGCGACAACAUUAUACUCGAUAAUUUCAAUUAUUGCGAGUGUUGUGGCUUAGAAACAAUUAGGCAGUUAAGAAUAAACAAGGCUCGGGCACUAUCAAACCUUUUUCCAAAAAAGCAAAAAGCUGCUUCUGCUGCAUCACAAGAUUUAUUUGAUGACUUUCAGGUUGAUAACGAAGAGUUGACGCUAAUCGAGGAUUCAUUGAUGAUUGAUGAUGCUUCUUCGGACAACAAGAAAAAACAGCUACUGUCAGUCAGCAGUGAUGAUGCUUCUUCGGACAACAAGGAAAAACAGCUGCUGUCAGUCAGCAGUGAUUUUAUUUCUUUAUAAGAAGAGAAAGAAAACAUAUCAAAUGGCGGGCAGACCCCCGAAAAAACGUAAAUAUUCAAGCAGGUUUAGUACAGAAUAUCAGCCCCCCCGGGACUAACUAUUUAUAUUUAGCACUUUCAAAUAACACCAUUCAAGUAUCAGUACAUUCAGUUGGUUCUAUGAUUUAUGAAUGUGUUCAA